Molecule: ribosomal RNA, 497 nt
Filed under: uncultured bacterium
Lineage: Bacteria
Description: partial 16S ribosomal RNA
Rfam family: Bacterial small subunit ribosomal RNA
Source: RNAcentral
GAUGAACGCUGGCGGCGUGCCUAAUACAUGCAAGUCGAGCGAACAGACGAGGAGCUUGCUCCUUUGACGUUAGCGGCGGACGGGUGAGUAACACGUGGAUAACCUACCUAUAAGACUGGGAUAACUUCGGGAAACCGGAGCUAAUACCGGAUAACAUGUUGAACCGCAUGGUUCAACAGUGAAAGACGGUUUUGCUGUCACUUAUAGAUGGAUCCGCGCCGCAUUAGCUAGUUGGUAAGGUAACGGCUUUCCAAGGCAACGAUGCGUAGCCGACCUGAGAGGGUGAUCGGCCACACUGGAACUGAGACACGGUCCAGACUCCUACGGGAGGCAGCAGUAGGGAAUCUUCCGCAAUGGGCGAAAGCCUGACGGAGCAACGCCGCGUGAGUGAAGAAGGUCUUCGGAUCGUAAAACUCUGUUAUUAGGGAAGAACAAAUGUGUAAGUAACUAUGCACGUCUUGACGGUACCUAAUCAGAAAGCCACGGCUAACUACGUG